AAGGGGCAGANGGAAUUAGUGGUGUAGGGGUAAAAUCCGUAGAUAUCACUAGGNAUAUCAAAAGCGAAGGCGAUCUGCUGGGAUGAUACUGACGCUGAGGCACGAAAGCGUGGGGAGCAAACAGGAUUAGAUACCCUGGUAGUCCACGCCCUAAACGAUGAAUGCUAGUCGUCGGGGAGCUCGUCUCUUCGGUGAUGCACUUAACAGAUUAAGCAUUCCGCCUGGGGAGUACGGUCGCAAGAUUAAAACUCAAAGGAAUAGACGGGGACCCGCACAAGUGGUGGAGCAUGUGGUUUAAUUCGAAGAUACACGAAGAACCUUACCUGGCCUUGACAUGGUAGGAACCCUUAAGAGAUUAGGGGGUGCUAGCUUGCUAGAACCUACACACAGGUGCUGCACGGCUGUCGUCAGCUCGUGUCGUGAGAUGUUGGGUUAAGUCCCGCAACGAGCGCAACCCUCGUCGUUAGUUGCUAACAGUUCGGCUGAGCACUCUAACGAGACUGCCUUCGUAAGGAGGAGGAAGGUGAGGACGACGUCAAGUCAUCAUGGCCCUUACGGCCAGGGCUACACACGUGCUACAAUGGGGCGUACAGAGGGCUGCAAUACCGCGAGGUGGAGCCAAUCCCUUAAAGCGUCUCUCAGUUCGGAUUGUUCUCUGCAACUCGAGAACAUGAAGCUGGAAUCACUAGUAAUCGUAGAUCAGCUAUGCUACGGUGAAUACGUUCCCGGGUCUUGUACUCACCGCCCGUCACACCAUGGGAGUUGAUUUCACCCGAAAUCGGGAUGCCAAACUGGCUACCGCUUACGGUGGAAUUAGCGACUGGGGUGAAGUCGUAACAAGGUAACC
This 847-nucleotide ribosomal RNA is filed under the name uncultured bacterium. Its description in RNAcentral is "bacterial SSU rRNA". It matches the Rfam family "Bacterial small subunit ribosomal RNA", at positions 652 to 1501 of the family's 1533-position model. The record is from RNAcentral.